GAUGAACGCUGGCGGCGUGCCUAAUACAUGCAAGUCGAGCGAACAGACGAGGAGCUUGCUCCUCUGCCGUUAGCGGCGGACGGGUGAGUAACACGUAGAUACCCUACCUAUAAGACUGGGAUAACUUCGGGAAACCGGAUCUAAUACCGGAUAACAUGUUGAACCGCAUGGUUCAUCAGUGAACGCCGUUCUUGCUGACACUAAUACAUGUAUCCUCGCCGCAUUAGCUAGUUGGUACGGUAACGGCUUACCAAGGCUACGAUGCGUAGCCGACCUGAGAGGGUGAUCAGCCACACUGGAACUGAGACACGGUCCAGACUCCUACGGGAGGCAGCAGUAGGGAAUCUUCGGCAAUGGGCGAAAGCCUGACGCAGCAACGCCGCGUGAGUGAAGAAGGUCUUCGGAUCGUAAAGCUCUGUUAGUAGGGAAGAAGAAAUGUGUGAGUAAAUAUGCACGUUUUGACGGUACCUAAACAGAAAGCAACGGCUAACUACGUG
Molecule: ribosomal RNA, 497 nt
Filed under: uncultured bacterium
Lineage: Bacteria
Description: partial 16S ribosomal RNA
Rfam family: Bacterial small subunit ribosomal RNA
Source: RNAcentral